Molecule: ribosomal RNA, 157 nt
Filed under: uncultured Sporosarcina sp.
Lineage: Bacteria; Bacillati; Bacillota; Bacilli; Caryophanales; Caryophanaceae
Description: partial 16S ribosomal RNA
Rfam family: Bacterial small subunit ribosomal RNA
Source: RNAcentral
UGGACGAAGUCUGAUGGAGCACGCCGCGUGAGUGAGAAGGUUUUCGGAUCGUAAAACUCUGUUGUAAGGGAAGAACACGUACGAGAGUAACUGCUCGUACCUUGACGGUACCUUAUUAGAAAGCCACGGCUAACUACGUGCCAGCAGCCGCGGUAAU